GAUGAAGAACGCAGCGAAAUGCGAUAAGUAAUGUGAAUUGCAGAAUUCCGUGAAUCAUCGAAUCUUUGAACGCACAUUGCGCCCCCUGGUAUUCCGGGGGGCAUGCCUGUCCGAGCGUCAUUGCAACCUUCAAGCGCGGCUUGUGUGUUGGGUCUCGUCCCCCGUGGACGGGCCCGAAAGGCAGUGGCGGCGUCCCGACAUGGUGCCCGAGCGUAUGGGAAUCCUCUUCCGCUCGAAUCGGCCCAUGCGGCGCUGGUCGUAACCAAAUUUUUUACCGGUUGACCUCGGAUCAGGUAGGGAUACCCGCUGAACUUAAGCAUAUCAAUAAGCGGAGA
RNAcentral lists this unclassified non-coding RNA (335 nucleotides) under soil metagenome. RNAcentral describes it as "partial contains 5.8S ribosomal RNA, internal transcribed spacer 2, and large subunit ribosomal RNA". The stretch from base 1 to 120 matches the Rfam family "5.8S ribosomal RNA", at positions 35 to 154 of the family's 154-position model. The record is from RNAcentral.